RNAcentral lists this transfer-messenger RNA (121 nucleotides) under Myxococcota bacterium. RNAcentral describes it as "partial transfer-messenger RNA". It matches the Rfam family "transfer-messenger RNA", at positions 1 to 124 of the family's 374-position model. Rfam says of the family: Bacterial tmRNA, also known as 10Sa RNA or SsrA, is named for its dual tRNA and mRNA-like properties. Its role is to liberate the mRNA from a stalled ribosome. Lineage: Bacteria; Pseudomonadati; Myxococcota. The record is from RNAcentral.
GGGGGCGUACCGGCUUCGACGGGGAUGUCGAUGUACGGACAGCGCGUCGUGGCGCCCAUGGCCACGUAAAAAUGGGCAAUCCUGCAACUGCGAACGAUAACAACGCUGUUGCUCUCGCUGC